UACGGAGGAUCCAAGCGUUAUCCGGAUUUAUUGGGUUUAAAGGGUGCGUAGGCGGCUUUUUAAGUCAGGGGUGAAAACUUGCGGCUCAACCGUAAGCUUGCCUUUGAUACUGAGGAGCUUGAAUACACUUGAGGUAGGCGGAAUGUGACAAGUAGCGGUGAAAUGCAUAGAUAUAUCACAGAACACCAAUUGCGAAGGCAGCUUACUAAAGUGAGAUUGACGCUGAGGCACGAAAGCGUGGGGAUCAAACAGG
Molecule: ribosomal RNA, 253 nt
Filed under: uncultured bacterium
Lineage: Bacteria
Description: partial 16S ribosomal RNA
Rfam family: Bacterial small subunit ribosomal RNA
Source: RNAcentral